AGCAAAAUCAUGAUUUAUACAUUUUCCAGUCUUCUUUGUCUAGAAUUUUGAAGACUGGGGCUCUGCAGAGACUGGCUGGUGAAAAGCGCAGAAGCUGACACCAUGUUUGGAUACCCUCCAGUGUUCAGUUGCAUGUCCAGCCCAUCAUAUUCUCCAGUGCAGGAUCAUCAGUCUUUCUCCGAGGAGCUGGAGGCCUUGGGAGUGGGAGCCACUCGCGGCUUAAUCCUUCGCGCGCCGAAACACCAUGCUCUUGCUGGAGCUGCUGGGAAUAUUCACUGUAAAGGACACAGAAACGAUCUCCUUCCUACACUCGAGAAGAAAUUAUUCCACAUCCCAUA
This is a long non-coding RNA of Fukomys damarensis (Damara mole-rat), 338 nucleotides long. RefSeq lists it as uncharacterized. The transcript has 3 exons. The record is from RefSeq and is a predicted model, not a curated record. NCBI's taxonomy places the organism in Eukaryota, Metazoa, Chordata, Mammalia, Rodentia, Bathyergidae.